Molecule: long non-coding RNA, 1138 nt
Filed under: Capsicum annuum
Lineage: Eukaryota; Viridiplantae; Streptophyta; Magnoliopsida; Solanales; Solanaceae
Description: long non-coding RNA (CANN_LNC002231)
Source: RNAcentral
GGCUAGUAUGACACUAUGAAAUGAAUAGACCCAUAAAACGCAUAAAACAAAUAAACCAAACAAAAUUCAAACCAAGAUAAUGUCAAGUUCGAAUUAUACAGUCCCAAAAAUAGAAAAAUGCGAAAAAUGUAAAUCCUAUUCUAACCCAAUCCUAGACUAUGCCCUACCCGAUACCUCAGGUCUUGAUCAUUAUAAUCUUCCACCAACAUAAUACGUCGGGACAUUCCCUGGUGAAUUAACACAAAUUGCCUUGGGCAUUCCCGGCUAAAUGAGUAGAUUUUUUUCAAUGCGAGAAACCAACACCAUUCAACAAACACUUCAAACAUUCACAAUUCAUAAUUCUUAAAUUUGCCUAGCCGGCCUACCGUUUGCCUACCAAUUUUAACCCAUCAUGAUAUUUCGGGUUCGAUCCAAUCAACGUCAAUUUUAAAUCAAACAAUUAAUCAAUGAUGCAAGAAGGCAAUUACAUAUCAAUUUUUCAUUUCCGCCCUACACAAACGGAAUAUCAAUCCACCAACCAAUCCAUAAUUACGAAAAUCAAACACCAAAUCAAAACAAACAACAUUUCACACCAUCAAUCACGUAAAAAUCACAAAAUUAUGAAGAAAGAGAGGAAAAUUGGACCUCAAAUACUUUUCAGUUGGAAUAAUCCUUCCGGCUAAAAACGCGUCCAAAAUCUCAAACUGAACCUCAACAAAACAAAUAAAUCCAGCUUUGAUCUAAUCCACUUUACUUUUCCUCGCCAAAAUCAAACCAGAAAUCACAAGCGAAGAAGACCAGUACCCAUUAUGUAUCGUUUUCCAAUGAAUUUCAAAUGAAUAUUCGCCGGAAAGGGGACGGGGUGACUGUUUUGUUGGAUUUUUUGCCAGGUUUUGGUUUUUUGAUGGGGUUGGGAGUAUGUUGAAGCUAGUUUCCAUCAGGUUUUGGGGAUGGGACGUUUACGGAGAGGGAAUGAGGUUGUUGGCGAGCUGGGUGUGUCGAAUUUAAGGUUGGAACAGUGAUUCCGGUGAAAUUUCGCCGGAAUUUCAGAGUAGUGCAAACUGAUUUCAACUUGCACUAGCAAUAUUCCAACUUUAAGUUGAACUUAGGAUGCGAAUUUUUGCAACUUUGGGCGCAUUUGUCGAAAAAUAAUUUUUAA